This 402-nucleotide ribosomal RNA is filed under the name uncultured bacterium. RNAcentral's name for it is "partial 16S ribosomal RNA". It matches the Rfam family "Bacterial small subunit ribosomal RNA", at positions 360 to 776 of the family's 1533-position model. The record is from RNAcentral.
AAUUUUGGACAAUGGGCGCAAGCCUGACCCAGCAACGCCGCGUGAGGGAAGAAGGUCUUCGGAUUGUAAACCUCUGUCCUAUGGGACGAAAAAAAUGACGGUACCAUAGGAGGAAGCUCCGGCUAACUACGUGCCAGCAGCCGCGGUAAUACGUAGGGAGCGAGCGUUGUCCGGAAUUACUGGGCGUAAAGGGUGCGUAGGUGGCCUAGCAAGUCAGAUGUGAAAUCCCCGGGCUUAACUCGGGGGGUGCAUUUGAAACUGCCUGGCUUGAGUGCAGGAGAGGAAAGCGGAAUUCCUAGUGUAGCGGUGAAAUGCGUAGAUAUUAGGAGGAACACCAGUGGCGAAGGCGGCUUUCUGGACUGUAACUGACACUGAGGCACGAAAGCGUGGGGAGCAAACAGG